RNAcentral lists this long non-coding RNA (1515 nucleotides) under Coffea arabica (coffee). RNAcentral's name for it is "long non-coding RNA (CARA_LNC000019)". Lineage: Eukaryota; Viridiplantae; Streptophyta; Magnoliopsida; Gentianales; Rubiaceae. The record is from RNAcentral.
UAAUGUCAAUAUUGAGAUAUAGCAAAAAUUUUAUACGAAAUAACAAACCAAUUUGUCAUUACAAAUACAAAACGAGCAACAAUAUAUUACAACCAAUACUAUCAACAGUACAAAGCACAAAGAUACUCAAAUCAAAUCCUAAUUAGGCUUUAAUAUGUACAACCAAAAUUGCCAGGGAUAACAAAUGCUAAGAUAGACGAUGUCCGAUAUACAAUGAGUAUCAUGUUUGCAUUAAUUGGCGAAGUCCAUAAUCGAAGUAGCUUGUAAGAGCUUCAUAGCCAGGUUUACUACAAUCCACCAUCAACCUACAGAGUCCAAUGGAAAAAAAAUUAUUAAACAGAAAUUUACAUUGGUAGUUAGAUAAAUUAAACCUGCAUUAGCCUACAUAUAUCAACUAAGACAUUGAUCCUCAUAUUGUUGCAUGAAAAGAAAUGAAAAUGAGGGACUUUAAAAGAAAUGCUAAGGAUCACUUUUAUUAACCACAAGUACAAAAUGUGAACUGAAUUUCAAACUACAAGUUGGUAGCAUGUACUUAAGAUGAAGAAAUCAUUAUGACCCCAAUUGACAUGAAACCAAUCGUAAAGUAACGCCAAGGCUGUUUCCUUCAACACAAAAAUAGUAAAUGCAUUCACUCAUUCAAAAUUGAGAAGUAGCUAAACAAGCGUAACUUUCGGACUUGGAAAGCAUGAAAUGAACUUGGAAAAAGGAAUUAGAUUUUACUACCAACAAGGCUUCCAAGGUGCAAAUAGCCAAUGAGAUCCUUUUUUUUAAUCCUUAUUAUUUUUGUCCAGUAUGUUCACUUAAAAGAAAACUAUAUUCUAUUUACUAGAUCUUUAGUUAAGAAAUAAACAAAAAAUUAAAUCAUCAAAAAGCAAAAAGACCAAAGGCAUUAAAACUUGCACAAACAUUCAGGAGGAGGAGAAGUUAUCACCUAAGAGAAUCACAUGCAACGCAAUGAAAGCAUUAGAAUUAACCCAAAGGAAGGGAAAAAAUAUGCUUCAUGAAUGGUCCUACAACACCGAAACACAAAACAAUAGAUAAUGAUGAACCACCACAAACCAGUCCAAAGACAAGCAAAAUCACCUACACCAUCAAUCCUAAUCACCAACCGGAGUAGAAAAUCAUCCAAAAUUUCAGUAAGUCACCGAAUAAAUAAGGCUUAAAUCUUAGAACAUGUCAUAAUCAGUGUUUAGCAUUCAAAAAUUGUGUAAUACAGGGGGUUUGGGACAACAAAAGGGGACAAUUAGGGCUGGGCAACGAGAGGUACGGAGGAAUGGAAACGAGAGUGGUAAAGAGAGGAGAUUGAACAAUACGACAAAGCAGGGGAAAAAUCAAAUCGUGGAAGGAAGAAUUCUAGUAUGAAAAUAUGUUGGAGACUACCUGAAAUCUUAGAUCUGAAAUUUUGACGGGCCGUUUUCAUUUUGCCUUCCAGUAAGACCCCUUUCUCUACUCCAACUGAGAUGCCCAUUCACUCUAAUCCACUGAAGUAGAAGCCUACAAUUUCAAAAAGUUUAU